UGACGCUGGCGGCAUGCUNUAACACAUGCAAGCUCGAACGGCAGCACAGCAGAGCUUGCUCUGUGGGUGGCGAGUGGCGGACGGGUGAGUAAUACAUCGGGACCUACCCAGACGUGGGGGAUAACCUCGGGAGACCGGGACUAAUACCGCAUACGUCCUACGGGAGAAAGCGGGGGAUCGCAAGACCUCGCGCGGUUGGACGGACCGAUGUUCGAUUAGCUAGUUGGGGGGGUAACGGCCCACCAAGGCGACGAUCGAUAGCUGGUCUGAGAGGAUGAUCAGCCACAUUGGGACUGAGACACGGCCCAAACUCCUACGGGAGGCAGCAGUGGGGAAUAUUGGACAAUGGGCGCAAGCCUGAUCCAUCAAUGCCGCGUGUGUGAAGAAGGCCUUCGGGUUGUAAAGCACUUUUAUCAGGGAAGAAACGGUGGA
RNAcentral lists this ribosomal RNA (432 nucleotides) under uncultured bacterium. Its description in RNAcentral is "bacterial SSU rRNA". It matches the Rfam family "Bacterial small subunit ribosomal RNA", at positions 33 to 457 of the family's 1533-position model. The record is from RNAcentral.